GCUAUAAACCCGGACACUACCACCUCGCACACGGCACAACAACAAAGGCAACAGUUGUUCGCGUUGUAGUUUUCUAUUGUCGCUACUCGCUAAUUCGCUUUACAAACUUUAAUAACUUGAACGAGAGAUCCAUUGAUGUUAGCGAGAGCUAUGGAACCGAACCAGGCAGCAGCAUGUCCGACACGGAGGAGCAGGAGAUUAGUGUUAGUGACGCCGACACGCCGGUAAACGCUGAAGACUCCAGCUCCCUGCCGGAGGACGACUCUGAGCCCGAGCCUGAACGGGACGAGGUCGAGGAGGACGACCAACCAGCCACUGCAGCUAGUGCCCAGAACGACCAUCCAUGGCCCUACUUGCAGGAGAUGUUCUCGUUUGUCGGACUCGGCUCAAAUAAGGAUUCCUGGCUACUGAACUGUGUCAUGUGCAGACCCCAAGUCAAAGAGCUACGGGCUUACAAGAAUUCUCCAUCAAAUUUGAAAAAGCACAUUGUGCAUUAUAGCCACAGUCUACUCUAAACCAUGGGUCAGCAA
Cololabis saira (Pacific saury) is the source of this 530-nucleotide long non-coding RNA. RefSeq lists it as uncharacterized. The transcript has 3 exons. The record is from RefSeq and is a predicted model, not a curated record. Lineage: Eukaryota; Metazoa; Chordata; Actinopteri; Beloniformes; Belonidae.